This 497-nucleotide ribosomal RNA is filed under the name uncultured bacterium. RNAcentral describes it as "partial 16S ribosomal RNA". It matches the Rfam family "Bacterial small subunit ribosomal RNA", at positions 28 to 507 of the family's 1533-position model. The record is from RNAcentral.
GAUGAACGCUGGCGGCGUGCCUAAUACAUGCAAGUCGAGCGAACAGACGAGGAGCUUGCUCCUCUGACGUUAGCGGCGGACGGGUGAGUAACACGUGGAUAACCUACCUAUAAGACUGGGAUAACUUCGGGAAACCGGAGCUAAUACCGGAUAAUAUAUUGAACCGCAUGGUUCAAUAGUGAAAGACGGUUUUGCUGUCACUUAUAGAUGGAUCCGCGCCGCAUUAGCUAGUUGGUAAGGUAACGGCUUACCAAGGCAACGAUGCGUAGCCGACCUGAGAGGGUGAUCGGCCACACUGGAACUGAGACACGGUCCAGACUCCUAAGGGAGGCAGGAGUAGGGAAUCUUCCGCAAUGGGCGAAAGCUUGACGGAGCAACGCCGCGUGAGUGAUGAAGGUCUUCGGAUCGUAAAACUCUGUUAUUAGGGAAGAACAAAUGUGUAAGUAACUAUGCACGUCUUGACGGUACCUAAUCAGAAAGCCACGGCUAACUACGUG